Molecule: RNA transcript, 2400 nt
Organism: Trichomycterus rosablanca
Lineage: Eukaryota; Metazoa; Chordata; Actinopteri; Siluriformes; Trichomycteridae
Gene: dcst2
Gene name: DC-STAMP domain containing 2
Exons: 17
Source: RefSeq, a predicted model, not a curated record
AAUAUAGAUAUAAUAUAGAUAUAAUAUAGAUAUAAUCACAAGAAUAAACUAUUAAAAGAGACCAAGGGCAACAUGUCAACACAGGACCGAGAACAUCACCGAGAUCCUUCACAGGGAGGAUGAAAGUUAGGAGGCGGUGUCCACGUUGUCCGCGGCUCGUUCGCAGCUCAGCAUGGCGUCACACGUGGCGCAGUUUUGGAGCCUUUUUAUUCGGGAUGCUGUUUGCCUCCGUGUAUGGCAUGAUGGUGCUGUUCAUGCAGAAGCAGGCGGUCUGGUACUGCAUCAUCACCACCGUGGCUAUAGCCGCCCUCGCAGGAUUCGGAAUGGGCCUAUCGGUCCAUGUGCGCGCCAACGUCGUCCUCAUGCUGCCCAUGCUGUGCUCCAAGGAAGGUAAAAAGUUGCUGCUCUUUCUCAUCCUCACGAUGGUGGUUCAAGGCCCUUUAAACAACACCCUGGAAAACUUCGACCGGGCAGCGGCCAGCGUGGUGUGCGGAGCCGAGUUAGCCAUGAACCAAACCCAGCAGCUGAUGCAGCGCGCCGCCACCCCACUGCUGCCUGUGCUGGAUAAGGUGAAGGAGGUCAGCAGAAACGCAUUCUCACUGGCGGGCCGAGUGCAAAACCUCAUCAGAGCUCUCACAGAGUCCGUGCGGCAUGUUGCACGCUCUCUGAGAAACGUGCUGCACUUCCUGGCGAACAUCGGCGACGUGUGCAACGAGAAGAUGGGCACGCCGUACAAAAAGUGUAACGCCGUGUUCGACGAGGGCCGUUCCGACUGCAUGGAGCUGCUCUCCGUAUUUUCCUUCCUCUGCCACAUCGUGGACGGGUUCAGGCCUCUGUGCGGCCUGGCGCGUGUCGGCGAGUUUUUAUGUAUCCUGCCCUCAUAUAUCGCCCAUCAUCUCAAAACUAAACUGUCUUACCCCAUUAUUGCUGCCUUCGAUCAGAUAAAGAAAGAGUUUGACUUCAACAUGUCGGCCAGCGUUCACUUCCACCUGAACCUGAACAGCAGUCAGUCUGUGCAGGAAAUGGCUCAGAAGAUCAUAGAGGAGGUCUCACAGGACCGGGAGCGAUUUCUCCACCUCACGGCGGUUCUGGCGUACGUGGGUCUGUUCCUGCUGCUGCUCAUGUACAUACAGGCAGUGAUGUAUAAAAGACGUUACCUACACGUGAACCAUUUCAACAACAUCUACAUCACAGAGCAGUUUGUGGAGCUGGACCAGGAGCUGGAGAGAGAGGGGAAACCAGCCGUCUUGCCCCUCACUGAGAAAGAGACUCUCACCUACAUCACACCCUACUCCCUGCGGUUGAUGGCUCGAGAGAAACGGGCUCUUAUGACCAGCCUGGUGUCAUUGCUCCGGCACUUGGCGAUGGGCGGCGUGAUUAUAGCCCUGGACCUGAUGGUUUUUUGGAUGUUUGAUAUUCUGCAUCAUCAUGCUCAGGAGGAGAUUGUGGCUCGAGCUCCCGUACUUGUAGAUGUUCAGGUGAACGGAUCAGGCUACUCUUCUGAUAUAUUCAGAGAUAUUCUGAUCUCGUUUGACAUCCUACAGAAAGCGAACAUCACGAUUCUGAGUAAGAAGUGCCUGAUGGAGCCUCUGGAGCCGGAAUACAUGAGCUAUCUAAUCAUAGGCUUUCUUUAUGGCCUUGCCUUCUUCCUGGUGAUCGCUGGAAGUUAUGCGAGACGCCUACAGAGGUCCGUGUGUGCGCAGUACCACCCUCAACGCGAACGGGAGAGGAUCCUGCACCUCCGUAGCCAUAUCCUGUCUCAGCGUGGUUCGUUCUGGAAAGCUUUGCGCCGAACAGUGACCAAAGAAAAGGAGGACCGAGGGAAUGGCAGCGUACUACAGACCCUGGCGCGGCGUGUGCCAGGUGGAGCCGCUAUAGCCAGAUUCCUGGGUGUAAAUGAUAAGUUGUGUCUGGCGUGUGGGAAAGCGCUGCAGGUCAAGGACUGUGGGGAGGUUUACAUCUGUUCUACUCCCAAGUGCUCAGGGUGUUUCUGCAGAAAGUGUUUCAGUAUAAUGGGGAACAUCUGCGCUGUCUGUAUGGGGCCCCUGACAUUCCAAGAAGAUUCUGAGCAUGAGCUAGACUCCAGUGAUGAGGAGCAGGUGGAUCUGUGGGUAGGAACCUCAGACAAUACCAGACACAGAGGGGCCAAUAAAGACCACUCCCGUGACCUAAAUGGCCAAAACAUAGUUUAGGAGCUAUGCAAUACACAGAUGACUGGAAUCGGCUCAGCUCUGUCCAACAAUAAGUUGUUGUUCAAUAAGAAGCCUUAAAUGAUCUCUACAUCCAUCUAGAAGAGGAUUUGCUGCAGGCCCAGACGUGUCAUUGCAAGACCAGAGCUCAUAUUAUGCAAGCGAAGACCUUGUCAUCUUGUUCAUGCUGUAAUAAAAUAAAUAUAAUGCA